GAACUCUGGAGAAGCUCCGCGGACCGGCGUCCUGUUCCGGCCGCGCGCGGAGUGCCGAAGGUGCAAGGCCGAAGGGCCGAAUCUCUCAGGCAAAAGGACAGAAGA
Molecule: non-coding RNA, 105 nt
Filed under: bovine gut metagenome
Description: Glycine riboswitch
Rfam family: Glycine riboswitch aptamer
About the family: This family represents the bacterial glycine riboswitch. Glycine riboswitches usually consist of two metabolite-binding aptamers domains with similar structures in tandem. The aptamers cooperatively bind glycine to regulate the expression of downstream genes.
Source: RNAcentral